Molecule: ribosomal RNA, 465 nt
Filed under: Vreelandella stevensii
Lineage: Bacteria; Pseudomonadati; Pseudomonadota; Gammaproteobacteria; Oceanospirillales; Halomonadaceae
Description: partial 16S ribosomal RNA
Rfam family: Bacterial small subunit ribosomal RNA
Source: RNAcentral
CCUACGGGGGGCAGCAGUGGGGAAUAUUGGACAAUGGGGGCAACCCUGAUCCAGCCAUGCCGCGUGUGUGAAGAAGGCCCUCGGGUUGUAAAGCACUUUCAGUGAGGAAGAACGCCUGGUGGUUAAUACCCAUCAGGAAAGACGUCACUCACAGAAGAAGCACCGGCUAACUCCGUGCCAGCAGCCGCGGUAAUACGGAGGGUGCGAGCGUUAAUCGGAAUUACUGGGCGUAAAGCGCGCGUAGGUGGCUUGAUAAGCCGGUUGUGAAAGCCCCGGGCUCAACCUGGGAACGGCAUCCGGAACUGUCAAGCUAGAGUGCAGGAGAGGAAGGUAGAAUUCCCGGUGUAGCGGUGAAAUGCGUAGAGAUCGGGAGGAAUACCAGUGGCGAAGGCGGCCUUCUGGACUGACACUGACACUGAGGUGCGAAAGCGUGGGUAGCAAACAGGAUUAGAUACCCUUGUAGUC